AUCCGAAUGAUCUCGGACCAGGCU
This 24-nucleotide microRNA is filed under the name Prunus persica (peach). Its description in RNAcentral is "microRNA miRNA_244". Lineage: Eukaryota; Viridiplantae; Streptophyta; Magnoliopsida; Rosales; Rosaceae. The record is from RNAcentral.